UACGUAGGGGGCGAGCGUUAUCCGGAAUUAUUGGGCGUAAAGGGUUCGCAGGCGGCCUUGUAAGUCAGAUGUGAAAGACAGCGGCUUAACCGUUGUAAGCACUUUGAAACUGCAGGGCUUGAGUACAGGAGAGGAAAGCGGAAUUCCUAGUGUAGCGGUGAAAUGCGUAGAUAUUAGGAGGAACACCAGUGACGAAGGCGGCUUUCUGGACUGAUACUGACGCUGAGGAACGAAAGCGUGGGGAGCAAACAGGAUUAGAUACCCUGGUAGUCCCU
This 275-nucleotide ribosomal RNA is filed under the name uncultured prokaryote. Its description in RNAcentral is "partial 16S ribosomal RNA". It matches the Rfam family "Bacterial small subunit ribosomal RNA", at positions 524 to 798 of the family's 1533-position model. The record is from RNAcentral.